UCCUACGGGGCGCAGCAGUGAGGGAUAUUGGUCAAUGGGGGAAACCCUGAACCAGCAACGCCGCGUGAGGGAAGACGGUUUUCGGAUUGUAAACCUCUGUCCUCUGUGAAGAUAAUGACGGUAGCAGAGGAGGAAGCUCCGGCUAACUACGUGCCAGCAGCCGCGGUAAUACGUAGGGGGCAAGCGUUAUCCGGAAUCACUGGGUGUAAAGGGAGCGUAGACGGCUGUGCAAGCCUGAAGUGAAAGGCGUGGGCCCAACCCCUGGACUGCUUUGGGAA
RNAcentral lists this ribosomal RNA (278 nucleotides) under uncultured bacterium. RNAcentral describes it as "partial 16S ribosomal RNA". It matches the Rfam family "Bacterial small subunit ribosomal RNA", at positions 337 to 632 of the family's 1533-position model. The record is from RNAcentral.